Molecule: transfer RNA, 74 nt
Filed under: Bacteroides sp.
Lineage: Bacteria; Pseudomonadati; Bacteroidota; Bacteroidia; Bacteroidales; Bacteroidaceae
Also listed under: 2 other names
Description: tRNA-Asp
Rfam family: tRNA
About the family: Transfer RNA (tRNA) molecules are approximately 80 nucleotides in length.
Source: RNAcentral
GGUGCGUUAGUUCAGUUGGUUAGAAUACCUGCCUGUCACGCAGGGGGUCACGGGUUCGAGUCCCGUACGUACCG